Molecule: long non-coding RNA, 752 nt
Organism: Mytilus californianus (California mussel)
Lineage: Eukaryota; Metazoa; Mollusca; Bivalvia; Mytilida; Mytilidae
Exons: 5
Source: RefSeq, a predicted model, not a curated record
UUUGUCAUUCCUUCAUAAACAGACGUUACGCUAUGGUAAUGAAACUGUAGUUCAAAUGCAGAAAAUUAAACUAAACCUUGAAUGUAAAGUAUAUGAGACAUUUUUUUUCUGAUCAGGUGAUUACAUGAUUACUGAUAACAUCGACGAAACAACGCAAAGUAUGAAUGUGACAAACAUAAGUGACGAUCAUCAUCAAAAUAAUUCUCUCAACAUAUGCGAUGAAAAGGGAAAUGUUAUCCUGAAAUGUAAUCAAGUUCAAAGCACAUGCCUUCGAAAUGUUUUGAAUAUAUACAGCCCGGCUGGAUUCAAACUUGGAUGUUUCAGAAAAAGGCUGUGUAAAUGCAAAGCAGAGUAUGAGAUAUGCUCAGGAAAUCGGAAUUCAUUAUUUUUGCUAACAGCCUACCAGAAACCAUCAGGAUUUAGAAUCAAUAUAACCAACGUCGAUGAGCAGAAUGUAGUAGCUACAAUUGAUUUAUUGACGAGACAAAUAGACAAAAUUGAAUUCACUCUAACUUAUAUGGAGAACAUUGCAAUUUUGCAGAAGACUCUUAUUCUGUGUGCUGCUAUAUCGUGCUGCGAACAGGAAUAUAAUGCCCACACGUGUGAUAUUUAUUCUAGAUUUAUAGAAAGUCUGUGUUGUUCAUUGUUCGGGAAAAGCAAGAUAAAAUUCGAGAUAUUAUGCGUUGUAUUCCCAGUAUUAAUUGGGCUUUAUGUUGUAGGGGUACUUUUUGUUUCUAACUAGGUUUGACAUC